Molecule: ribosomal RNA, 702 nt
Filed under: uncultured bacterium
Lineage: Bacteria
Description: bacterial SSU rRNA
Rfam family: Bacterial small subunit ribosomal RNA
Source: RNAcentral
UCGAACGGGUGAGUAACGCGGGAAUUACAUGCCCUUUCAGUGGGGGAUAGCCCAGGGAAACUUGGAUUAAUAACCCCAUGGACUCGCAAGAGUAAAGGUGGCCAGCAGUGGCUGUCGCUGAGGGAUUGGUUCGCGCCCUAUCAGCUUGUUGGCGGGGUAACGGCCCACCAAGGCUACGACGGGUACCUGGUCUGAGAGGACGAUCAGGCACACUGGAACCGAGACACGGUCCAGACACCUACGGGUGGCAGCAGUCGAGAAUAAUUCACAAUGGGGGCAACCCUGAUGGUGCAGCGCCGCGUGGAGGAUGACGGUCUUCGGAUUGUAAACUCCUGUCAUCCGGGAGUAAGACCUGGCGGUUAAUAGCCGACAGGGUUGAUAGUACCGGAAGAGGAAGGGACGGCUAACUUCGUGCCAGCAGCCGCGGUAAUACGAAGGUCCCGAGCGUUGUUCGGAAUCACUGGGCGUAAAGGGAGCGUAGGCGGCGCGGUAAGUCAGAUGUGAAAUCCCGGGGCUCAACCCCGGAACUGCAUCCGAUACUGCCGUGCUAGAGGAUUGGAGAGGUAGCUGGAAUUCUUGGUGUAGCAGUGAAAUGCGUGGAUAUCAAGAGGAACACUCGUGGCGAAAGCGAGCUACUGGACAACUCCUGACGCUGAGGCUCGAAGGCCAGGGUAGCGAAAGGGAUUAGAUACCCCAGUAGUC